GAAGAGAGGAUAAGCCUUUGGCUUUUUAGUGUCCAAGGGACAGAACCAUGUGGUAUUUGUCUCAGAUCCUCACUGUAAGCUCAGAGUCUGAUAAAGAGCAGCUGUUGAAUAGGAAUUCAUUGAAUGACAGUAGCCAGGGUGGAUAAAAUUUGGAGAAGUGUUUUUAUAGUUGUUUAAGGUGGGACAAAUUUAAAGAUGUGAUUUAUAGAAGAGGAGUAAAUGGAGAGGAAGAGGUUAAGGACAUUAAGGAUGAAGGGGAAAGGGGAGUGUUUGCUGCCAAGGACCCAUAGGAAAUGGGAGGCAAUGGCAUCUACAAAGCCACUGGAAGGUUGCUUUCUCCCACUUUCUUACUUGCAUCUGAUGCUCUUCCCAUUUCACAGGGAAAACAGAAAUGACUAGAAGAGCCCUUGCUCAGACCCACAUCCCCGAGUCUCUCAAUGGUCAGCACCAGUGCUCACAUUUCUGUGUCCUCCUAUUCCUAAGGAUGAACUGGCUGUCAUCCUAUUAAGGUCACCUCUCCACAGGCACGCGGGUAUCAUUCCCUCUCCCCUUCACAGAGACUUCACUCCAGUACUUCUUGCCUCCUCUUCUGCUUCAUCAGUUUUCCUCUUCAAUGGUAUCAUUGCCAUCAGCAUACACACAUGCUUUUAAUUCUCUUAACGGGGCAAAAAGACAAAAACUAAACCUCUGCCUAAUUCUCACCCAGUUUUCUGUUUCUCCUCACUGCGAAACUCCUGGAGACAUUUUCCUUCACUCUCUCCAAUAAUGUAUUUAUGAAUUUUAUUUGUUUGUUUACCUAGAUUUUUUAAUCAGGAUGCUGAAAUGUGAAAGUCAUCCUAUAUGUUCCAGCUGACAGUUUACAAUGUGACGGAAAGGCAAGGAUAAACAUGAUUACUCUUCUUGAAAAUUCACUUCGUUUAGAAGGAGAGAACCACGAACACCUGCUCUCUGUUUAUCCAGAAUUCUGAAGGGAACUCAGUUUACCAAAGCAGCAUGGUGCACUCGGUCUGUUUGGGCCAGAGGCUCACUCUAAGAGCUAGGACACGUCAAGCUGCGAUGGGAACAGCCUCAGGCAGGGUUGACCAAGCAGAGUGCAGCCUCCCUGGGUCCUCUGCUGGUGUUGAGUUUCCUUGCUCUAUAACCAGACCCAUCAGGAUGGAGAUCACGUGCUGGGCCCCUCUGCCUACAGAGAGGAAUAUUCCUGCCCGUGUCUAUGUUCUCCCCUGUAUUCAGAGGCUGGAAGUCUGAAAACUGCGUUUCCGGGCUUACCAGCAGGAUAGUAACUGCGAUUCCACCGCUGAGUGGUGCGACUCGGGCCCUGGAAGCAGGAGGAUCCACAGCAGCCUUCUUGUUCUGUCAGUAGCAGGCAGGUAUGUGAGCUCCAACAGCCAAGGACAGGAAGCCGCAGCCUUCGAGGAUGUGCCAGCGAAUCCCUGCGUCGGUCCUGCAGGGGGCUCAGGCCACCGCCAUCUGUUCUUCCACUUCCC
RNAcentral lists this long non-coding RNA (1487 nucleotides) under Equus caballus (horse). RNAcentral describes it as "lncRNA (ENSECAG00000058424.1)". Lineage: Eukaryota; Metazoa; Chordata; Mammalia; Perissodactyla; Equidae. The record is from RNAcentral.